GGGGGUGUAACUCAGUGGUAGAAUACUUGCCUAGCAUACAUGGGGCCCUGGGUUCCAUCCCCGACACCACCA
Molecule: transfer RNA, 72 nt
Filed under: Heterocephalus glaber (naked mole-rat)
Lineage: Eukaryota; Metazoa; Chordata; Mammalia; Rodentia; Bathyergidae
Rfam family: tRNA
About the family: Transfer RNA (tRNA) molecules are approximately 80 nucleotides in length. Their secondary structure includes four short double-helical elements and three loops (D, anti-codon, and T loops).
Source: Rfam by way of RNAcentral